RNAcentral lists this long non-coding RNA (2281 nucleotides) under Olea europaea (common olive). RNAcentral's name for it is "long non-coding RNA (OEUR_LNC010634)". The record is from RNAcentral. Lineage: Eukaryota; Viridiplantae; Streptophyta; Magnoliopsida; Lamiales; Oleaceae.
CUGGUCUGUCUGAAAAUGCAAGGCCAUUCGUUUGUAAAACUUCUUGGGCUAUUUGAGGAGAUGAUAUUACAACCGUUGAAAGUUCACCAAUUUGUAGGUGCAUUAUAGGACCAUAUUUUUGUGCUAAUUUGUUGAGAGAAUGAUGGGGUAGUGAACCUAUCAGUUGGUGCAAGUUUCCAAUAAGAGGGAUUUUCCAUGGACCUGGAGGAAAUUUUGAAGGAAUUAUGAAUCUUUUGCUGUUGUUGAAUAGCAAGAACAGGAAGGAAAUUAUGAAGGAAAAUGCAGUGAGGGAAAAGGAAGAUGGGAUUUCCAUUGGAGGGAAGAUGGGAUAUUGGAGGCAUAUUGUGGCUAUUAAUUAUAUACAAAGAGUCAGAUUUUUUUUUUUUUUUAGGAAUAAUGUUAUUCGUAGUCAAUUACUAAAACAGUCAUCUUAUGUGGCAGUUUAUUAUUUGAUGCAUUAGCUUGUUGUUUGAGACAAUAGAAUUACAGAAAAUUAAUGCUUCAAAAUAACAGGAUGUUCACAUAACGUGACCACGGUAGUUUUUGCUAUAAAUUAAAUUAGAUUAAGUCUAUGUUUGACUCAUUACUUUUAGAUGUUUAUAAACACCUUGGUAAAAAAUGCUUAGUCCUUGCUUAAGCCCCAUUUUUUGGAAAAAAAAAAUGCAUUCUUAAACAGUGUCACACAUUUUCAAUAAAAUAACAUUACAUACAAAUUUGAAAUUUCUUUCUUAUUUUUUAAUCACACAUUUUUCAUGAAUACAUUAUUUAAGAAUGCACUCACAAAUACUACUCACUUUUCAACCAGUCAUUUGCUAAUGUUUAUAAGCUCCCUUUUGUUAACACUUCGAAGUGUGGUCAUGUUUUGUUUUCGCACAAAAUACAAACAAUUUCUCGAAAAGUUCUUCCUCUAUUCGCUCUUAUCUCUCUUCCUAUCUUCCUUUCUAUCUUCUUAUACAGUUCUAAUAAUUGUUAAUUACAUACUAUACGUUCUAUCUUCUUAUACAGUUCUAAUAAUUGCUAUGUACAUACUGCACCAUCUAUAAUUGAAAGCGUUCAAUACAAGACGAGAUUUAAUUUUCAAGGGCCACUCAACGAGUGCAUUUUCAAAUGGGGAUAUAUUUUAAAAAUAAAAAUGAAAAUAAAAUAUUUUAAUCCAGAUUUUAGUCUCAAAAGGUGGCUAGAUUCGUAUUAUCUACAAGUCAAAUAAAAUUUAUAUUUUAAAAAUAAAAAUGAAAAUAAAAUAUUUUAAUCCAGAUUUUAGUCUCAAAAGGUGGCUAGAUUCGUAUUAUCUACAAAGUCAAAUAAAAUUUAUAUUUUUCCACGAUCCAUAUAGCUAACUGCUUGCAUGUUGCAAUAAUUCAUUCUUUUUUUAUUGAGUGAAUCACGAGGGUUGAAUUGAUAUACUCUUACUGAUACGUGUAAAUUAGAUUAUUAUAAGAUUAUUAGGAUUCAUUUGACAUAACUUUUGAGAAAUCAAAAAACUAUUUUAGGAUCCAUUUACUUAAUUUUGUAGAAGUGAUUUUUAGGUAAAACUGACUUAAUGUGUCUUCCAAAAGAGGAAGUUCUUUUAGAAAUUAGUUUCCAAAUACUAUUUAAUGUACUCCCUUGAGGAGGUUCGGAAGUAAAAGUAGAUGUGAAAUCCGACCGAAUUGGACCUUAGUCUUGUUUUCAUUGGUUACUUGGUUUGAUACAAGUUUUCGAAUGGAUUGAACUACAAAUCAUUACAAAUAGCGUGUCAACUAUUGAGAAGGAUCAACGCAUGUUAGGUUUGUCAUUGACAAUAUUUGGUGAUCAAUUUAGUUUGGUCUAUAAAUGUGUUCGUUCAUUCAUUCUUUAUUUUUAUUUUAUCAUGAUUGCAUUAAAUAUUCCAGAUACUACUAUACCAAAAAUUUAAUAAAAUAAGGAAAAUUAAUGAAAAAAUUUUGAAAAAUUAAAAUAUAUGAAGAGCGAUAAAUGAGUACAAAAUAUUUUUCCUUUCAAGGCGCAAUUUGAAAAUAAAGAGUCUUUUAAAUAUGCUAUUGAAUGAUAUCAGCAAGGCCAUUUGUUUGUAAAAUUUCUUGGGCUACUUGAGGAGAUGAUAUUACAACCGUUGAAAGUUCACUAAUUUGUAGGUGCAUUAUAGGACCAUAUUUUUGUGCUAAUUUGUUGAGAGAAUGAUGGGGUAGUGAACCUAUCAGUUGGUGCAAGUUUCCAAUAAGAGGGAUUUUCCAUGGACCUGGAGGAAAUUUUGAAGGAAUUAUGAAUCUUUUGCUGUUGUUGAAUAGCAAGAACAGGAAGGAAA